CAGUCGCCGCGGGAAUACAGAGGGUGCGAGCGUUAAUUGGAUUUACUGGGCGUAAAGCGUGCGUAGGCGGCUUUUUAAGUCGGAUGUGAAAUCCCUGAGCUUAACUUAGGAAUUGCAUUCGAUACUGGGAAGCUAGAGUAUGGGAGAGGAUGGUAGAAUUCCAGGUGUAGCGGUGAAAUGCGUAGAGAUCUGGAGGAAUACCGAUGGCGAAGGCAGCCAUCUGGCCUAAUACUGACGCUGAGGUACGAAAGCAUGGGGAGCAAACAGGAUUAGAUACCCCUGUAGUCCCUGUCUCUUAUAC
RNAcentral lists this ribosomal RNA (301 nucleotides) under uncultured bacterium. RNAcentral's name for it is "partial 16S ribosomal RNA". It matches the Rfam family "Bacterial small subunit ribosomal RNA", at positions 509 to 807 of the family's 1533-position model. The record is from RNAcentral.